This 432-nucleotide ribosomal RNA is filed under the name uncultured Bacillota bacterium. RNAcentral's name for it is "bacterial SSU rRNA". It matches the Rfam family "Bacterial small subunit ribosomal RNA", at positions 389 to 836 of the family's 1533-position model. Lineage: Bacteria; Bacillati; Bacillota. The record is from RNAcentral.
GAGCAAUGCCGCGUGAGUGAAGAAGGCCUUCGGGUUGUAAAGCUCUGUCUUCAGGGACGAAGAAAUGACGGUACCUGAGGAGGAAGCCACGGCUAACUACGUGCCAGCAGCCGCGGUAAUACGUAGGUGGCAAGCGUUGUCCGGAAUUACUGGGCGUAAAGGGCGUGUAGGUGGACUGAUCAGUCGGAUGUGAAAUACCCAGGCUUAACCUGGGGACGCCAUUCGAUACGGUCAGUCUUGAGUGCAGGAGAGGGCAGUGGAAUUCCCAGUGUAGCGGUGAAAUGCGUAGAGAUUGGGAGGAACACCAGUGGCGAAGGCGGCUGCCUGGACUGUAACUGACACUGAGGCGCGAAAGCGUGGGGAGCAAACAGGAUUAGAUACCCUGGUAGUCCACGCCGUAAACGAUGAGUACUAGGUGUAGGAGGUAUCGAC